Molecule: ribosomal RNA, 473 nt
Filed under: uncultured bacterium
Lineage: Bacteria
Description: bacterial SSU rRNA
Rfam family: Bacterial small subunit ribosomal RNA
Source: RNAcentral
CGUGCUUAACACAUGCAAGUCGAACGGAGUUUACAUGUGAGCGGAGGGUGCUUGCAUCUAACAAUCUUUGUAAACUUAGUGGCGGACGGGUGAGUAACGCGUGGGUAACCUGCCGUAUACAGGGGGACAACAGUUGGAAACGACUGCUAAUACCGCAUAAGCGCACAGGACCGCAUGGUCUGGUGUGAAAAAACUCCGGUGGUAUACGAUGGACCCGCGUCUGAUUAGCUAGUUGGUGAGGUAACGGCCCACCAAGGCGACGAUCAGUAGCCGGCCUGAGAGGGUGACCGGCCACAUUGGGACUGAGACACGGCCCAGACUCCUACGGGAGGCAGCAGUGAGGGAUAUUCGGCAAUGGGGGAAACCCUGACCGAGCAAUGCCGCGUGAGGGAUGACGGUUUUCGGAUUGUAAACCUCUGUCCUCUGUGAAGAUAAUGACGGUAGCAGAGGAGGAAGCUCCGGCUAACUACGUG